Molecule: ribosomal RNA, 605 nt
Filed under: uncultured Enterobacteriaceae bacterium
Lineage: Bacteria; Pseudomonadati; Pseudomonadota; Gammaproteobacteria; Enterobacterales; Enterobacteriaceae
Description: bacterial SSU rRNA
Rfam family: Bacterial small subunit ribosomal RNA
Source: RNAcentral
GGUUAAACUCAAAUGAAUGACGGGGCCCGCACAAGCGGUGGAGCAUGUGGUUUAUUCGAUGCAACGCGAAGAACCUUACCUGGUCUUGACAUCCAUAGAUUCUGCAGAGAUGUGGGAGUGCUUUCGGGAACUAUGAGACAGGUGCUGCAUGGCUGUCGUCAGCUCGUGUUGUGAAAUGUUGGGUUAAGUCCCGCAACGAGCGCAACCCUUACUCUUUGUUGCCAGCGAUUUGGUCGGGAACUCAAAGGAGACUGCCGUUGAUAAAGCGGAGGAAGGUGGGGACGGCGUCAAGUCAUCAUGGCCCUUACGACCAGGGCUACACACGUGCUACAAUGGCGUAUACAAAGGGAAGCGAAGGUGCGAGCUGGAGCGGAUCUCAUAAAGUACGUCUAAGUUCGGAUUGGAGUCUGCAACUCGACUCCAUGAAGUCGGAAUCGCUAGUAAUCGUAGAUCAGAAUGCUACGGUGAAUACGUUCCCGGGCCUUGUGCACACCGCCCGUCACACCAUGGGAGUGGGUUGCACCAGAAGUAGAUAGCUUAACCGCGAGGGGGGCGUUUACCACGGUGUGAUUCAUGACUGGGGUGAAGUCGUAACAAGGUAACCA